GUGCAUUCAAAAGCCCUUACAUGU
This 24-nucleotide small nucleolar RNA is filed under the name Arabidopsis thaliana (thale cress). RNAcentral describes it as "ncRNA (AT1G09873)". Lineage: Eukaryota; Viridiplantae; Streptophyta; Magnoliopsida; Brassicales; Brassicaceae. The record is from RNAcentral.